CUGCAGCCAUUCUGCCAUCCGGCGCUUGUGCAGGUGCCUUCCGCGGAGUCAGUCUAGGAAACGUUUCCAGGCGCCUAGUCUUUGCAAUCAAAAGAAUCAGAAAUGUUGCUGAGGCCCUAAGAGGCAGUUCUGCACAGCUGCUCAAAACAGAAUCGGAGGAUGGAUGAUGGGGGAUAGUGUGUGCGGCUCUUUGCUGGCUAGGUCUCCUACCAGACUUUUAAAAAGUAGCACGUGAAGGUGUAUGGAGGUCAGCACACAGCGCUGCUUAGGACUCUUUCUUCACAGGAAGUGGCAGCAUGCCUGCCUCAACCUCAGCCCUCAGCCAAUGCCUUCUGACUCCGAGCCGAGAGCCCUUCCUGACCUCGUGGCUGAGCGUCUCUGGCCUUCUCUGCAGCUCCUCAACGGUGUGGCAGCGCAGCGCAGGCCCUCCUGGCUGACCUUCAGAAAUCUGUUGAAAUCUUAAAAUAAGAAAACAGGGAAGCUUGCUGCAUCGAUUGACUCUUCCUUUCACGAAAGAUUUCUCUGUAGCGUGCAAUGCUAUGCACUGGAAAAAGAAAGAAAGAAAGAAAUCUGUUGAAAUCACUCGUUCGUUGCUGUUGACCCUCUCCACACCGUUGUCUUUGAGAACCUGGAUUGUACUUAUAGGCUUUAUUUCAUGGAGGCUUAUGGCAAACAGGUGGCAAGGGCAUAUGUCUACUCUGCCAUUUAACUCGGAGAGUUUUGCCUGCUUUUUAAGGUAUCUUUGAGUACUUAAUAUGGGCCUCUAUCUGAUCUUUGCACCCUGACUUUUCAUAACGGUACAGUGCACGUGAAAAAUUCUGUUCAGUCAAGCCUGAACUGCCUUCUGAACUCAGAUGCUCAUUUUUGAUUCAGUUUCUUUGCAGCCCUAGGAGGACCAUUCUUCUUCCUUUCUUCCCCUAUGUAUUUGAAUAAUUCAUCAAGGCCAAAUUAAUUCCAUUUCCUUCAUCAAGGUGAAUUCAGCUAAUUGUAGCAUUCUCCCUUCUCUGAACUAUAAUUGAACCAUUAUUACGUGAUAAAGACAUGUCUAUACUAGACAACCUGGUACUACAUAUACUUUUUGUUAUAUAAUUAUGUAUGUGUUCUAAUUAGUUAAGUAACACUCUACUAGAUUCUGGAAGUUAUUUAAGGCAUGUCACAUAUGUACUUAUGCAGUUAGAUUUACCUUGCUGAAACCAAUGUCUCUUUUAGGGCAUAGCAUGAUACUGGAGAUAUGGUAAAAUAUUAAUACACAAAUGUACAAUUUAUUCAUUACAAAAAAUUUACACUGCAAUCAACUACAUACACACGUUCUUUUUUACAAUUUUUUAAAUUAUACUUUAAGUUCUAGGAUACAUAUGCAGAACGUAGGGUUUGUUACAUAGGUACACACGUGCCAUGGUGGUUUGCUGCACCCAUCAACCUGUCAUCUACAUUAGGUGUUUCUCCUAAUGCUAUCCCUCCCCUAUCCCCCCACCCCCUGACACGCCCUGGUGUGUGAUGUUCCCCUCCCUGUGUCCAUGUGUUCUCACGGUUCAACUCCCACUUGUGAGCGAGAACAUGUGGUGUUUGACACAUACUUUCUUUUUACUUAUCUUGAUUAUUUUUCUUUUCCUAUCCUGAGUUUUCCAGACAAAAUAGCUAAAGAAGUCAAGAAAACCAAAGGAUAUUAAAACGAAAGUGGCAACAGACAACAAAAGGAAUUAGUAAUUGACACUCAUUGAAUCCUUCUUCUUUUCCUUAUUAUUUUUAUCAGUUGUGCUUAUCUUUACUUGUGCCACAGUGAGCACUAGGAUUCUUCCAUGGUAGGUUGGUGUGUAAUAGUUAAAUGAGCACUCAUAAUAUUUAGGCAUUUCAUAGUGUGUCAUCUUAAAUUAAUGUAAUUUUCAUAAAAUUUACAGUUUGAAUAUAUUCUAUAUGCUAUUUUAAUUUUUUUCUGAGAAAGAACUGUCUGCUGAGAAAUAGUGAAAUGAAACUCUUCAUUUUGAUGACUGGGAAAAGAGAUGGGAGUAGUGUCUCCACUGCCAGACAGACUGCAUCUCUGCUGCCAGACGUCCUGGGAUGUUGCUGUGGGUUUUUGACAGGCUUCUUGCACUAUUGAAGUCAAAUUCUUUCCUAGUAGCACACACCUUUCCAACACUAAUCUAUGUGAAAAAUAAGAAAACCUUUCUUCCUGUUGUUGGCUGGAGCACCCCUGCAUCUUUGAAACUAUUAUUUCGUUUGUUAGGCAGAAGCUCCUGGGCAGCUGCCAGCCUUCUCUAUGGUGUUUGAGCACUGACCCCUGAGCACGGUAUGUGACAUAUUAUUAAAGAAUUAUUAAAGACCAAUGGCAUGCUUUGGUCAUUUUUCUUAUCUAACAGUCAUAGUAAAACUGAAAACUAGAAAUUAUGAAUGACAAGAAGGGGAAAUUUAAAUUAGGGCCCCAAUUUACUUCUUUUUACUAUCAGUUUUGAUAAUUUAUUUUUCAUUAGCAGAGGUAUUUUACAUGAAUUUUCUUAGUCUUCCCUUCCUUUCUUCAGGGUGCAGGUUCAAACUUUAUCUAACAAUUAAUAUACAUUUUUAAUUAUCAUACGAUAAUGGUAAAACAUUAAUUAAAAAUUUAUAUGUAUUUUAAAGUGUAAUGCUACCAUAUAAAUUAUGUAUAUUUUAUCCAUAUAUCUAUCUGACACUUACCUAUAUCAUGAAUGAAAAGAGGUUAUACGUAAAAUUCACGUUAUUAUUUUAUUUGCCAUGCAAUUUAGAAUUAAAUCAGGAUGUUGGCAGAAAGCUAGCUAAACCCUUAACUGACAUGUACCCUCUCAGCAAUGUAACUAAGGAUGAUCGCAGUCUGGCACCCAUGCUAGGCAUGUGGUAGAAAGCAUGCCAAUUCUUGGCACAACAUAAAACAGAAGGAAUUUGGUGUAGGACAUCUGGAUAUUUAGUACUUUAUGCAAAAAUACAUAGAUCCUUUAUUUUUCCUUCUCUUUUGACAUUUGUUGUACAAAGUCUUAAAAAUUUAUUCUUUGGAAUACAUAAGUUGGCCAUAUUCAUAUGCUUCUUGAAAAAGCUAUUUUUAAAAAACUUUUAGUUCUAGCAUUUAAUGCUGGAGACCAGUACUACCCACUUGGACUUUGUGCAGUGAUAGACACACUUUAUAUCUGCAAAAUCUAAUAAAGAGAUGACUAGCUACGUGUGUCCAUUGAACACUAGAAAUGUACUUGGUGCAACUGAGGAGCUGAAUUUUCAUUUUUAUUUAGUUUUAAUUCAUUUAAGUUUAGAUAGCCACAUGUGGUUGAUGGUUACCAUACUAGUAAAGCUAUAGGCUAUUAACAGUCUCAGUUUACCAGUGGUUAAGACUAGCUGAAGUAUAAGAUAUUUCUUAAUUACAGAAGGAAAAUUGUCUGAUGAAAUAUUAAGGACCUUUCAUUUACAUGCAUUAUAGUGAUAUUAAAGUAGUUUCAAAAUAGAAUAGCAUAAUAUUAAUAAAUACACAUGAAUAUAUGUUCAUGCACAUAUAGUUUUAUACAUAAAUAUGUGUGUUUAUUCAAACCAGAGAAUUCAUUAAAUCGGAUUAUACAGUAAUAAUAUACAAAAACUGAAAAACUGCUAUAAAAUUUCAUGGCUAGAAACAUGUUCUUGUCAGUAAAUCCGUAAAUAUUGGUACAUACAUAGCAAUAAAGCAUAAUAAACUUAAUGACAAAAUAAGUCCCACCAUAUAUGCAGUACCAAAAAGCAAAAAUGGUACUAUAUUUUCAUGAAUAUUGGUGACUAAAAAGUAAAGCAAUGUAAAAUAGGUUUGAUGAAAUUUCUUUUAAGAUAACCAUAGUUUGCAAAUAAAAUUAAUUUAUCAAAAAGCAGCAGGAACUAUACAUCUAGAUAGUAAUGUUUAAGAGCAUUCAAUGUUGUUCCCUGGAACUCAGAAAAGUAAAUUUCUUCUUAUUAUUAGAUAACUAGUAAAAAGUGAACAAGAGUAUUUACUCUAUGAAUUUUAACCUGUGAGUUUAGUAGUUCUAUAUCUUAAUCUAAAAUUUUAAUAAAAUAGCCCAAAUUUUAUCUCUCCU
This 4037-nucleotide long non-coding RNA is filed under the name Homo sapiens (human). RNAcentral describes it as "HSALNT0082302". Lineage: Eukaryota; Metazoa; Chordata; Mammalia; Primates; Hominidae. The record is from RNAcentral.